CAGAAUUUCUCAUUACCUCCUUUGUACCAAAUCCUUUUCAAACCAAACCAACAUGGUCUCCAAACCAUCAUCCUUAGAGCACUCAAUCUCCUCUAACCAAAGUACCUCUUAACCAAUUCCAAAAUCCCCCAUACUCGUCCCGCCGGAAACUAGUAGACGAAGAGUUUCGAGAAAAUCUACAUCCUUUUCUAGUUUAUUUGACCAAAGAAAACCUUUCGACCUCAUGGGAAGUGAUGCAGAUGUAUACUUGCUAUCGUCACACUACAAAAAAAUGCUUAAAUUGCGGCGGUUUAAUAGCGGGGGUCAGCUACAACCCCCGCAAAUUUCAUUAAAUAGCGGGGGUUUACAUGUCCGACACAAAUAAAAGAAACUAGCAGGGGUUUGGAACCUCCACCAUCUGGGAAAAAAAUAGCGCCAAUUUUUCCCUCACUUUUUUUUUGGCUUGGCUCUUUUUUCUCUGAAACAAAAAAGGUGUCUCAAACCCUCCCUCUCUCUCAAAACCCUCUGUGUCUCAAAACCUCCCUCUCUCACUACUUUUUAUUCCACCCCAACUAUAAAGGGUGCUGAUUAAAUAGAAGCUGGAGUUUUUGAAUUUAAGGCCAUUGAUCUCAAAGGUAAAUUUUUGCUCAAAAUUCUCAAUAUUCUUAACAUUCUACAAACAAAAGGGCACGCAGCUUUUAGCUCAAAUUUCUCAAUUUUUUUUUAUUUUUUUUUUGUGAAUUUUUCUAAUGUGUCCCUCACUUUUUUUCCACAUAAUUUGCAGAUCUUUUCCUUGAAGAGCCAGUUCUUUAGAAAUACCAUAACAAUCAUUUUUUGUUCCCUUUAUUUUUACUUUAGAAGCAAUUUUCUUGUAUGUAUACAUAUUUGUUCAAAGACCCUUCCACAACGAAGGUUAGAUGAUUGCAAAUACCUUCCCAACAACAUCACCUACCAAAACUAUACAAAAGAGGACUUAAUAGAUCCAGAUUACUACCCAUAAAAGAAAAUUAAAAAAAAAAAAAAAAAAAACAGGUCGAAUUGUCAGCAAAAUUCCACAAAUUAGAGGCAAAUCAAGAGAUACAGACUUCUUCUUCUUUGGAAAAUAUUGAAUCAUCCAUUUCUGAUUCAUUAUUGAAUUGUAGAUAUGCCAAGGUUCAAGCGUUUGCAGAAGAAGCAAAAUUCAGUUCAGUCAGUAUCUCAUCCAGUUGCUGAAUUAGGACCUUCUUUUCUUCAAUCAACGCCAUGCCUGCCAACACAUCCGACUAUGUCAUUUCGGGCAACAACACAUCUGGCCCCAUCAUUUCAGCCUACAUCGCAGGCGACUCCAACAUUUCCGCCGGCAUCACAGCCGUCUCGAUCAGUUCACUCAAUAUCCCAUCCAGCUCCGAUGGAUCAGGUAGCACCACACCCGGCUCCAGCAGUUCACCAAGCAUCACAACCAUCUCGAUCAGUUCACUCGACAUCAAAUUUGGCUUCGACAGAUCAGGACUCACCACAACCAUCUCUGUCAGUUCACUCGACAUCACAUUUGGCUUCGACAGAUCAGGACUCAACACAGCCAGCUCCAACAGUUCAGGCCGCAUCCAAAAAGUGUUCUAGGUCGCAUUGGAUUGUAGAUGCAAUAGAUUCAGAAGAAAGUAUCAGGAAACUCAGAGUGAAAGUUAAUGAAGUGAUUAAUUUAACGUGUGAAGAACGUAUUGUGGUUGAUUUUGAUUACUUGGAUGAACCAUUUGGUGAUGGACGCGGCCUUCUUUCACGCUUUUGUGGAAUUUUGGCGUGUGACUGCUCUUUAUUUCCAAUCAACUUUGAGAAAUGGUCAAGUUUACCUAUUUCAUACUUCAACCGAGUCUUCGAUCAAAUUAUAAAGCCCAAGUUCUUCUUUAGGACAACCGAGUCAGUUGCAAUGGGACAUGUCUAUAAAUCUAUUGUAAAGAAGUGGGCUGCAAAUAAAAAUAACUUGUGGAAGAUACAUGAAGACCUGCUUAAAAGUAAAACUGAGAUUAUUUAAAGUGUGCCGGAUGGGAUUCCACAUGAUCAAUGGAUUUCUUUUGUUGAUUACCAAUAUAAAGAUUCAACAAAGGCAAUGCGAUUAAGAAAUGCUGAAAACCGAAAGAAAUAGACUAUACCACACACAGGCGGCUCCAAAGCCAAUGCUACGAGAAGGGCUGAAAUGAUGGCUCAGACUGGACAAAGGCCUGGACGAGCACAAAUAUACCUUGCUACUCAUAAGAAUCAAGAUGGAGUAUAUGUUAAUGAAGCAGCAAAAGAAAUAUGCGAAAACAUUGAGUUAGCUUUAGGCCAAAGCACCAUAGACAAGUCUCAAAUUUCGCGAAAUGAUGCCGUCGGCAAGGUGCUAGGAGAAGAGCACUCUGGGAGGGUGAGGUGCUUGGGAUUAGGACCUGUCCCCAGUAAAGUUUUUAAACAAGCAAGACCUCGUUUCGGCGGUACAAGUGCUUCAAGAAGUGAAGGUUCAUGUUCGUCCCAAUGUCAACUGAACCAUAAGAAAAUGAUGAUUGCUUAGGAAAAAAUGAUGAAUGCUUUCAAGGCAUAUAUGAUAAUGAAAGAAGGGACGAUACCAGAACAGUUUGCGGGGUUCUUUGCUUCUUCUUCGGCGAUUUCUCCUACAACAUGAUGCGGCUAGUGGAUCCCUUUCGCCCAUGGAUGCAAGAAGAUCAUGCGGUGAUAGUAAUCCUAGUGACAACCGUUGAUUUCAUUGUAUUGUUUGGUAGGAACGGAUGUUAGAACGCUGGAGUGAAUGUAUUGUGUUUAAAUUUAGUUUUCGAGUGAUCUGAUAAUGCUACUUAAAUUUUUAGUUUAAAAAACUAAUGGUACUUUAUGAUAACAUUUGUGAUUUUACGAUAUGUUAUUGAUAUCUCUUAAAGUUUUAA
Lycium barbarum (goji berry) is the source of this 2867-nucleotide long non-coding RNA. RefSeq lists it as uncharacterized. The transcript has 8 exons. Lineage: Eukaryota; Viridiplantae; Streptophyta; Magnoliopsida; Solanales; Solanaceae. The record is from RefSeq and is a predicted model, not a curated record.